Long non-coding RNA from Ruditapes philippinarum (Manila clam), 2469 nucleotides. RefSeq lists it as uncharacterized. The transcript is spliced from 3 exons. NCBI's taxonomy places the organism in Eukaryota, Metazoa, Mollusca, Bivalvia, Venerida, Veneridae. The record is from RefSeq and is a predicted model, not a curated record.
GUCUAUGUUUAAGCGGCUUUGUUUGUAAAAAGUUCAAAGUGUUCUUAAUUUAUUGGAAAUAUGGAUUAUUGAUAGUUGAAGUUACAGCAGAGAGAGAGAGUUUGACAGUAUGCGUGUUUGAAGAAGAUAAUGCUUUUAUUGGUACAUUCAAUUCCACAAACUGAGUGUUGAUUUCCUCGAUUUCAUUGACUCGAUGAUUCAUUCUUUGAUUUCUAAUGAUCAAUCAACUUAUUGAUUUACUGAUUGAUUGGACAUGUCAUGGAGCUUAAUAUAGAUGGAGAAGUAACUUAGACGUCAUACAGUUAAAUUCAGUAUUAUCGGGGUUGUUCUAGUGCAAGUUAUCAUGUGUUUCGGGAUUUUCCAAGAUUUGAUGCAUCCUGGGUAAUAGUAGCCAAAAUACCGCCAUAUUCAAUUCCAAGAGGAACAUUGACAAAAAAAGACGAAGCAUUUUCUACUUACAUAAGAAGCAAUAGUUAUUUAUGUUAAAACGUACCAUACACACUUUUCCACACAGAUAUUUUUUUUACUUGAAAACUAUUAUUUUUUACUAUGACUUUUUUAGUUUCAAAGGCAUCUACCUCUUACUUCAAAUACAUAUUCCUUAUCAUCAAUUACAUCUUAUGUGACUAGGUUCAUAAUUUACUCUUAAAGCAAUAUUUCCAGGUUAAUAUCCCUUUGAACUAUUUUUUAAAGAAAUAUAAUAAGUAAUUUAAUUUACUUUUUAGCUCACCUGAGCAAUGCUCAGGGUGAGCUAUUGUGAUGGCCCUGUGUCCGUCGUCGUGCGUCGUCAACUUUUAACGUAAACAUCAUCUCCUCUGAAACCAAUGACUGCACAUCGACCAAACUUUACAGAAAUGAUCCUUGGGUGGGCCCCUUUCAAAGUUGUUCAAAUGGUUCCGGUCUGUUGCAUAUGUAGGUCAUAGGGCCAGAAAAGGAUUUCAAAAAACACAAAAUUAAAAAAUCUUCUUGUCUGAAAGUACAUGGGCCAGAGCUUUGAUUUUUGGUAUAUGGUAUCAUUAUGGGUCCUCUACCAAAGUUGUUCAAAUUUUGUCCCUAGUGUCAAAAUUGGCCCCAACCUAGGGGGUCAUAGGUUUUUCCUUAUAUGUAUAUAGUAAAAUCUAAAAAAAUCUUCUUCUCUAGAUGUUUAGCAUGAAACAUCUUCGAAUGGGUGUCAACCAAGAUUGUUCAAAUAAAAGCCCUGUGGUUUCAACUGGCCCCGCUCCGGGGGCCUAUAUACAGGUGAGCGACUUUGGGCCAUCAUGGCCCUCUUGUUUAUAUUUCUUAUCAUUACACAUAUGUUGUGUGACAAGCAUGACUAUUUCCAGAAUUACCCCCCCCCCACCUUGAACUUAUUCAUGGAAUUUAUGUAAACAAACGUUCUUAGUUUCAUAGUUUUGUCUUCCAUACCAACUUAUCUCAGCCUCUUGAUAUUUUGUAUACAGUAUUGACGUGGUCCCAUACCGUCGGAUUUGAUUUUAGUUCUGUCGCUCACCAAGCCCCAUUUACCGUUAAAUUUUCAAAAUUAAUGGUCAAUGGUAGGAAAUUUUUGUGACAGAUUUUUUAGCAACUACUUAUCACAGGCUCUUGAUAUUUGACAAACAGCAUUGACACAUGGUCUUAUACUGUGGGAUUCGAUUUCAAGUCUUUCAUUCAUCCACUUCCUGUUAACUGUCUUAUUUAAAUUUUCCACAUUAAUGGUCAGUGGUAAAUAUUUUUCAAAACAUUACAGCAUCAUGAUAUUUGGUAUAGAAAUGCAACCCGACCUUUUCUGUCUUUGACCCAUUUUUUUUUUUAAAUUUUGAAAACAUUCAUUUAUUAUUGUUGAAAUCUACUUAUAAUACCUUUAAAAUACCAUGUUCCCAGUACUUUUUAUAAACAUGCUUAAGUUGUUCUUAACAUACACAAAACAAACUUGUACAUUCCUUUAUUAGAAAUUGUCUUUUUUAUAUAACCAGGCACAAGUGACAAGAUAAUAUUUAUGUAUAUGCUAUUAUCAUUGUGGACACAAACUGUAAACAAAGGUAUCAUUUUUGAUUCUAGUCAAAGUAAAAACAAACAGUGAUUGCACUAGAGUUAUAUAAGAAAGUUUGUGGGAGCUUUACAUGCUCAUAACAUUUCUAUCUUUGUCAGAGAAAUAUUUGAUUUCUAAGAAAUAAACUAUUUUGACUUCAAUUUCCGAAGAAACAUGACACUACACCCCAAAUUUAAAUGCAUAAUAACUAUUACAUUUGUUUGACUUAACUGUUUCUUAUGGUCAAUAGUGUUACAUGUAUAUAAUUUUUUAUGUUCAUUUUACAUUUGCUUGUUUUUUCUAUCAUUUCAAUCCAUAAUGUCUUAAUCAUUAUAUAAUUUGAUAAUACCUUAAUUAUGUAGCAUUGUAGCAUUGUUUUAUGAUUUACAUUGUAUUUGCAAUUUUGUGAACAUUUAUCAGUAAGUAAUAUUCUUAAUAAAAGAAAUUUCACAAUUGAU